This 460-nucleotide ribosomal RNA is filed under the name uncultured bacterium. RNAcentral's name for it is "partial 16S ribosomal RNA". It matches the Rfam family "Bacterial small subunit ribosomal RNA", at positions 338 to 795 of the family's 1533-position model. The record is from RNAcentral.
CCUACGGGAGACAGCAGUGAGGAAUAUUGGGCAAUGGACGGAAGUCUGAACCAGCCAUGCCGCGUGCAGGAAGACGGCUCUAUGAGUUGUAAACUGCUUUUGUACAAGGGUAAACCUGAAUACGUGUAUUCUGCUGAAUGUACUGUACGAAUAAGGAUCGGCUAACUCCGUGCCAGCAGCCGCGGUAAUACGGAGGAUCCAAGCGUUAUCCGGAUUUAUUGGGUUUAAAGGGUGCGUAGGCGGAUUGGUAAGUUAGAGGUGAAAUGUCCGGGCUUAACUCGGGAACUGCCUCUAAUACUGUUGAUCUAGAGGGUAGGUGCGGUAGGCGGAAUGUAUGGUGUAGCGGUGAAAUGCUUAGAGAUCAUACAGAACACCGAUUGCGAAGGCAGCUUACCAAGCUAUAUCUGACGUUGAGGCACGAAAGCGUGGGGAGCAAACAGGAUUAGAUACCCUAGUAGUC